GAAAGAUGGUUUCGGCUAUCGCUUACAGAUGGGCCCGCGGUGCAUUAGCUAGUUGGUAGGGUAAUGGCCUACCAAGGCAACGAUGCAUAGCCGACCUGAGAGGGUGAUCGGCCACACUGGGACUGAGACACGGCCCAGACUCCUACGGGAGGCAGCAGUAGGGAAUCUUCCGCAAUGGACGAAAGUCUGACGGAGCAACGCCGCGUGUAUGAAGAAGGUUUUCGGAUCGUAAAGUACUGUUGUUAGAGAAGAACAAGGAUAAGAGUAACUGCUUGUCCCUUGACGGUAUCUAACCAGAAAGCCACGGCUAACUACGUGCCAGCAGCCGCGGUAAUACGUAGGUGGCAAGCGUUGUCCGGAUUUAUUGGGCGUAAAGCGCGCGCAGGCGGUCUUUUAAGUCUGAUGUGAAAGCCCCCGGCUUAACCGGGGAGGGUCAUUGGAAACUGGAAGACUGGAGUGCAGAAGAGGAGAGUGGAAUUCCACGUGUAGCGGUGAAAUGCGUAGAUAUGUGGAGGAACACCAGUGG
Molecule: ribosomal RNA, 526 nt
Filed under: Listeria monocytogenes
Lineage: Bacteria; Bacillati; Bacillota; Bacilli; Caryophanales; Listeriaceae
Description: bacterial SSU rRNA
Rfam family: Bacterial small subunit ribosomal RNA
Source: RNAcentral